UUGUCCUGUGACUGCGUACCUUUUGUAUAAUGGGUCAGCGACUUAUAUUCAGUGGCAAGGUUAACCAUCUAGGGGAGCCGUAGGGAAACCGAGUCUUAACUGGGCGUUCAGUCUCUGGAUAUAGACCCGAAACCAGGUGAUCUAGCCAUGGGCAGGUUGAAGGUUGAGUAACAUCAACUGGAGGACCGAACCGACUAAUGUUGAAAAAUUAGCGGAUGACUUGUGGCUAGGGGUGAAAGGCCAAUCAAACCUGGAGAUAGCUGGUUCUCCCCGAAAGCUAUUUAGGUAGCGCCUCGGACGAAUACUACUGGGGGUAGAGCACUGUUAAGGCUAGGGGGUCAUCCCGACUUACCAACCCUUUGCAAACUCCGAAUACCAGUAAGUACUAUCCGGGAGACACACGGCGGGUGCUAACGUCCGUCGUGGAGAGGGAAACAACCCAGACCGCCAGCUAAGGUCCCAAAUUACUACUAAGUGGGAAACGAUGUGGGAAGGCUCAGACAGCCAGGAUGUUGGCUUAGAAGCAGCCAUCAUUUAAAGAAAGCGUAAUAGCUCACUGGUCGAGUCGGCCUGCGCGGAAGAUGUAACGGGGCUAAGUAGUAAACCGCAGCUGCGGCAAUGUGCUUUUGCACAUUGGGUAGGGGAGCGUUCUGUAAGCG
Molecule: ribosomal RNA, 659 nt
Filed under: Vibrio parahaemolyticus
Lineage: Bacteria; Pseudomonadati; Pseudomonadota; Gammaproteobacteria; Vibrionales; Vibrionaceae
Description: partial 23S ribosomal RNA
Rfam family: Bacterial large subunit ribosomal RNA
Source: RNAcentral